GGACAUAUUUAGUCAAAGAAGUAGAAAGCAGAGCAAUAAACAGACGCACAUUCCCAUAUUUAAAUCAAUACAUUAUUUUUAUACAUGCAUGCAGAAAUAUAUAUAUGUAUUGAAGUCAGCUGCUGGCAUGGCAUGGCCCAACUGAUCUAUCCCAUGUAGAGACACUUGGAUUUUUGCUCCUCUGGAUUGACAACACGUGCAGCUUUCCAUAUUUAAAGCUAUCUUGACCACCAAAUUAAUCCAUUGAUCUUGAACGAACGAAACUGCUAUGAAAACAAUUGAUCACUCAUUGCUUUUCCC
This 300-nucleotide long non-coding RNA is filed under the name Prunus persica (peach). RNAcentral describes it as "long non-coding RNA (PPER_LNC000174)". The record is from RNAcentral. Lineage: Eukaryota; Viridiplantae; Streptophyta; Magnoliopsida; Rosales; Rosaceae.